UGUCCACUUACUAACUUUGUGAGCAACAAGCAACAGCUGUUUCAGCGAGAGGUGCUGUGAGCCACACCUUGACUGAUGCCCAUGAUCUCUGUGGAGCAUCUCUGUGAAGUGUUUCCACCAUAUGUUCCCAGUGUGCCCUGGAAUCAGCUCUGAGUACAGGACAGCUUGCUGAGGUUCUUCAUCCUCUCCCCUUGGACAAAGAGGUAGACUGGGUGGGGCCUGCUAACCCAGUGUGUGGUUUGGUGGAGGAGAGCUGUGGGGCACAUGCUCAAAGGACUUCAGUGGCCCCAGGAUGCUAA
This 299-nucleotide long non-coding RNA is filed under the name Phasianus colchicus (ring-necked pheasant). Its description in RNAcentral is "lncRNA (ENSPCLG00000017006.1)". Lineage: Eukaryota; Metazoa; Chordata; Aves; Galliformes; Phasianidae. The record is from RNAcentral.